GGCAACAGCUCAAAUUUGAAAUCUGGCUCCUUGCGGGGUCCGAGUUGUAAUUUGUAGAGGGUGCUUUGGCGUUGGCCGUGGUCUAAGUUCCUUGGAACAGGACGUCACAGAGGGUGAGAAUCCCGUACGUGGCCAGUGGCCUCCGCCGUGUAAAGCCCCUUCGACGAGUCGAGUUGUUUGGGAAUGCAGCUCUAAAUGGGAGGUAAAUUUCUUCUAAAGCUAAAUACUGGCCAGAGACCGAUAGCGCACAAGUAGAGUGAUCGAAAGAUGAAAAGCACUUUGGAAAGAGAGUCAAAAAGCACGUGAAAUUGUUGAAAGGGAAGCGCUUGCAGCCAGACUCGCUCGCGGUUGUUCACCCAGGCUUCUGCCUGGUGCACUCUUCCGCGGGCGGGCCAGCAUCGGUUCGGGCGGUCGGAUAAAGGCCUGGGGAAUGUAGCUCUCUCCGGGGAGUGUUAUAGCCCCAGGUGCAAUGCGGCCAGCUCGGACCGAGGUCCGCGCAUCUGCUAGGAUGCUGGCGUAAUGGCUGUAAGCGGCCCGUCUUGAAACACGGACCAAGGAGUCUAACAUCUAUGCGAGUGUUUGGGUGUCAAGCCCGAGCGCGCAAUGAAAGUGAACGGAGGUGGGAACCCUCUCCUGGGCGCACCAUCGACCGAUCCUGAUGUCUUCGGAUGGAUUUGAGUAAGAGCAUAGCUGUUGGGACCCGAAAGAUGGUGAACUAUGCCUGAAUAGGGUGAAGCCAGAGGAAACUCUGGUGGAGGCUCGCAGCGGUUCUGACGUGCAAAUCGAUCGUCAAAUUUGGGCAUAGGGGCGAAAGACUAAU
RNAcentral lists this ribosomal RNA (820 nucleotides) under Wicklowia submersa. RNAcentral describes it as "partial large subunit ribosomal RNA". It matches the Rfam family "Eukaryotic large subunit ribosomal RNA", at positions 100 to 935 of the family's 3401-position model. Lineage: Eukaryota; Fungi; Ascomycota; Dothideomycetes; Pleosporales. The record is from RNAcentral.